CCUACGGGAGACAGCAGUGAGGAAUAUUGGUCAAUGGACGAGAGUCUGAACCAGCCAAGUAGCGUGAAGGAUGACUGCCCUAUGGGUUGUAAACUUCUUUUAUAUGGGAAUAAACUGUUCCACGUGUGGGAUUUUGUAUGUACCAUAUGAAUAAGGAUCGGCUAACUCCGUGCCAGCAGCCGCGGUAAUACGGAGGAUCCGAGCGUUAUCCGGAUUUAUUGGGUUUAAAGGGAGCGUAGGUGGAUUGUUAAGUCAGUUGUGAAAGUUUGCGGCUCAACCGUAAAAUUGCAGUUGAAACUGGCAGUCUUGAGUACAGUAGAGGUGGGCGGAAUGCGUGGUGUAGCGGUGAAAUGCUUAGAUAUCACGAAGAACUCCGAUUGCGAAGGCAGUUCACUGGACUGCAACUGACACUGAGGCUCGAAAGUGUGGGUAUCAAACAGGAUUAGAUACCCGGGUAGUC
This 460-nucleotide ribosomal RNA is filed under the name uncultured bacterium. RNAcentral describes it as "partial 16S ribosomal RNA". It matches the Rfam family "Bacterial small subunit ribosomal RNA", at positions 338 to 795 of the family's 1533-position model. The record is from RNAcentral.